This is an RNA transcript of Papaver somniferum (opium poppy), 1426 nucleotides long. It is a transcript of the gene named ras-related protein Rab5, with no coding region annotated. The transcript has 9 exons. NCBI's taxonomy places the organism in Eukaryota, Viridiplantae, Streptophyta, Magnoliopsida, Ranunculales, Papaveraceae. The record is from RefSeq and is a predicted model, not a curated record.
UCUUUCACAAAAUAUUUUUGCAUUCUCGAAUCAGGAAAAACUCUCCUCGCUUCCUAUAUAGAUCAAUUGAUUUACCGAAGAACAUUGAAAUAAUUUUAAUUUAAUCGAUUCAUCAAUAUUUUCUAAGUUGUAAUAUCUCCAAUGGCUACAAUUGGGAACAACAAUCUUAAUGCGAAACUUGUUUUGCUUGGUGAUAUGGGAGCAGGUAAAUCAAGUCUUGUUUUGCGAUUCGUCAAAGGUCAAUUUCUCGAGUUUCAGGAAUCAACAAUUGGAGCAGCGUUUUUCUCACAGACGUUGGCUGUGAAUGAUGCAACUGUUAAAUUUGAGAUUUGGGAUACCGCCGGUCAGGAGAGAUAUCAUAGCUUGGCUCCUAUGUACUACAGAGGAGCUGCUGCUGCAAUAAUCGUUUACGACAUAACUAGCACGGAGUCUUUCACGCGUGCAAAGAAGUGGGUGCAAGAACUACAAAAACAAGGUAAUCCCAACAUGGUUAUGGCACUUGCUGGAAAUAAAGCCGACUUAGAAGAAAAAAGGAAGGUGACAGCUGAGGAAGCUCGUGUUUAUGCCGAAGAGAAUGGUCUUUUCUUCAUGGAGACCUCUGCAAAGACUGCUAUCAACGUCAACGACAUAUUCUAUGAAAUAGAGUAUCGUUACAGUCUUUUCAAAGGCAAUAGUGAAGGAGAUCCAAUAACAUGAGCCCCAUCAAUGAUGUUGAUCAUUUGAAGCUGCUGCUUGAUAUCGUAAUUAGUAGCAUGAUCAUAGCGGGAAACAUCGGUAGCAUGUGAACUGAUAGACUCUAGGAUCAUGGUCGUACGUGGACUAGGAUGUAGAAAGCACAGAUGCUUUGGCAUUUGAGAAUGCAAGAGAAGUUGCAGCGUGGUAAUCUAAACAAAUCAAAUCCUGAAAGGCCGGGUCUCACAAACUUUAAUGAAAUAGGAAUGCUCAAAGAAGUUGCCCCGUGCUCAACCUGCUCAAAACCCAACAGGGAUGGUUCUUGCAGACAGACCAGCAGAAAGAUCCCAAGCUGCAUCAUGCUGUUCCUCCUAAAUUUACAAUAAAGACAAUCAAGCUCUAUAAAUGGUUUAGAGAAGGUGUACCUAGAAGUGGCAAGUGAAAUCCUUGGAGCUUGCGAGCUGUUUUUCUCAUCCAGUGUCUUACGUAGUAAGAAGGAACAUGGACCUAUAUCUGAACUUUUCUCUAAUUUCUUUGAGGUUUGUUCAGUCUAAAUAUGUUCCUAAACCUUGUAAAUGUGUUGGUAUAUAACGUGUGCACCGUUAUUGAAAGAUAUUGUGAUGAGUUUGAUAUUCAAUUGUUCUUACGUCGUUAUUCAUGUUUAGUUUGCAUAUGCCAUGCCUAUUCGGGAACAACAUUAUUGAAUUCUCGAUAUCUCUAGUAUUGAAUUCUCGAUACUCAUGUUUAGUUUGCA